GACGAACGCUGGCGGCGUGCCUAAUACAUGCAAGUUGAGCGCUGAAGGUUGGUACUUGUACCAACUGGAUGAGCAGCGAACGGGUGAGUAACGCGUGGGGAAUCUGCCUUUGAGCGGGGGACAACAUUUGGAAACGAAUGCUAAUACCGCAUAAAAACUUUAAACACAAGUUUUAAGUUUGAAAGAUGCAAUUGCAUCACUCAAAGAUGAUCCCGCGUUGUAUUAGCUAGUUGGUGAGGUAAAGGCUCACCAAGGCGAUGAUACAUAGCCGACCUGAGAGGGUGAUCGGCCACAUUGGGACUGAGACACGGCCCAAACUCCUACGGGAGGCAGCAGUAGGGAAUCUUCGGCAAUGGAAGAAAGUCUGACCGAGCAACGCCGCGUGAGUGAGGAAGGUUUUCGGAUCGUAAAACUCUGUUGGUAGAGAAGAACGUUGGUGAGAGUGGAAAGCUCAUCAAGUGACGGUAACUACCCAGAAAGGGACGGCUAACUACGUG
Molecule: ribosomal RNA, 497 nt
Filed under: uncultured bacterium
Lineage: Bacteria
Description: partial 16S ribosomal RNA
Rfam family: Bacterial small subunit ribosomal RNA
Source: RNAcentral